UGGGGAAUAUUGGGCAAUGGAGGAAACUCUGACCCAGCAACGCCGCGUGAGUGAAGAAGGUCUUCGGAUUGUAAAGCUCUGUGAUGGGGGACGAAAAAAAUGACGGUACCCCAAUAGCAAGCCACGGCAAACUACGUGCCAGCAGCCGCGGUAAUACGUAGGUGGCAAGCGUUGUCCGGAAUGACUGGGCGUAAAGGGUGCGUAGGUGGUUAUAUAAGUUGGAAGUGAAAUACCGGAGCUUAACUUCGGAACUACUACCAAAACUAUAUAACUUGAGUGCAGGAGAGGUAAGUGGAAUUCCUAGUGUAGCGGUGGAAUGCGUAGAUAUUAGGAGGAACAUCAGAGGCGAAGGCGACUUACUGGACUGUAACUGACACUGAGGCACGAAAGCGUGGGGAGCAAACA
RNAcentral lists this ribosomal RNA (405 nucleotides) under uncultured Eubacteriales bacterium. Its description in RNAcentral is "uncultured Clostridiales bacterium partial 16S ribosomal RNA". It matches the Rfam family "Bacterial small subunit ribosomal RNA", at positions 355 to 774 of the family's 1533-position model. Lineage: Bacteria; Bacillati; Bacillota; Clostridia; Eubacteriales. The record is from RNAcentral.